Sciurus vulgaris (Eurasian red squirrel) is the source of this 127-nucleotide small nuclear RNA. Lineage: Eukaryota; Metazoa; Chordata; Mammalia; Rodentia; Sciuridae. The record is from Ensembl.
GUGUUUUAUAAAAGGAGAGAAGGUAAGUACUUCCCUUGACAAGGAUGGAAAAGGCCCCUCGGGUCUGACAACACAGACAGGGUUAAGGCAUUACCACCUACUUCAUGGCAUCUAACAACGUUUUUUU